This 762-nucleotide ribosomal RNA is filed under the name uncultured Pseudomonadota bacterium. RNAcentral describes it as "bacterial SSU rRNA". It matches the Rfam family "Bacterial small subunit ribosomal RNA", at positions 8 to 765 of the family's 1533-position model. Lineage: Bacteria; Pseudomonadati; Pseudomonadota. The record is from RNAcentral.
AGAGUUUGAUCAUGGCUCAGAUUGAACGCUGGCGGAAUGCUUUACACAUGCAAGUCGAACGGCAGCACGGACUUCGGUCUGGUGGCGAGUGGCGAACGGGUGAGUAAUAUAUCGGAACGUAUCCAAUAAUGGGGGAUAACUAAUCGAAAGGUUGGCUAAUACCGCAUACGCCCUACGGGGGAAAGCAGGGGAUCUUCGGACCUUGCGUUAAUGGAGCGGCCGAUAUCUGAUUAGCUAGUUGGUGAGGUAAAAGCUCACCAAGGCGACGAUCAGUAGCUGGUCUGAGAGGACGACCAGCCACACUGGAACUGAGACACGGUCCAGACUCCUACGGGAGGCAGCAGUGGGGAAUUUUGGACAAUGGGCGAAAGCCUGAUCCAGCCAUUCCGCGUGAGUGAAGAAGGCCUUCGGGUUGUAAAGCUCUUUCGCAAGGGAAGAAACGAUGCAGUCGAAUAAACUGUGUUAAUGACGGUACCUUGAUAAGAAGCACCGGCUAACUACGUGCCAGCAGCCGCGGUAAUACGUAGGGUGCAAGCGUUAAUCGGAAUUACUGGGCGUAAAGCGUGCGCAGGCGGUUUUGUAAGUCAGAUGUGAAAUCCCCGAGCUCAACUUGGGAACUGCGUUUGAAACUACAAGACUAGAAUAUGUCAGAGGGGGGUAGAAUUCCACGUGUAGCAGUGAAAUGCGUAGAGAUGUGGAGGAAUACCAAUGGCGAAGGCAGCCCCCUGGGAUAAUAUUGACGCUCAUGCACGAAAGCGUGGG